Molecule: non-coding RNA, 155 nt
Organism: Picea glauca (white spruce)
Lineage: Eukaryota; Viridiplantae; Streptophyta; Pinopsida; Pinales; Pinaceae
Source: Rfam
GAUAACAUGCUUGUGGAAGUUAAACAUUCAUAAUGACAUUGUUUUUUGAUCCUUCAUUGUCAACUCUUCCUAUCAUUAUGAAGCAUAAUUCAUCUAGUGUUGGAUUGUUCACCCACUUCAGAAAAACUUAUUAGAGUGACUAAGGAAAUAUUUGG